Molecule: unclassified non-coding RNA, 295 nt
Filed under: uncultured Teloschistales
Lineage: Eukaryota; Fungi; Ascomycota; Lecanoromycetes; Teloschistales
Description: sequence contains ITS1
Rfam family: 5.8S ribosomal RNA (bases 1-105)
Source: RNAcentral
GAAAUACGAUAAGUAGUGUGAAUUACAGAAUUUAGUGAAUCAUCGAAUCUUUAAACGCAUAUUGCGCCCCUUAGUAUUCCGUAGGGCAUGCCUGUUUAAGCGUUAUUUACCUCUUAAGCUCUACUUAGUGUUGGGCGUUAUCCCGCUUUGCGCGAGGACUUGCCCUAAAGGUAUUAGCAGCGGUUGUGCUACCUCUCGCGCAGCAUAUUACGCUUCUUAAGGCAGUUAAUUAGCGUUUACAAAGCUUAUAUUAUAUCUUAACCUCGGAUUAGGUAGGGAUACCCGCUGAACUUAA